GACAUAUUAUUUUUGCCCUGUCUGUUUGUUGGUUUGUUGUGUCAAACAUUAACAUUUGCCAUAACUUUUGCAAUAUUGAAGAUUAUAUAUAGCAACUUUAUAUUUGGCAUGCAUGUGUAUCUCAUAGAGCUGCACAUUUUGAGGAGUGAAAGGUCAAGGUCAUCGUUCGAGGUCAAAGGUCGAAUAUAUGAGGGCAGGGCUCGCGCUGUCGUUCGCCACUUGAGCCAUUUGCGAAAAUAUUGAGAAUUUGGCUCAAGAAAAAUCCGAUUUGCGAAAAUGCUAAAAUCUCGUAAAAUUUCAUUGAAAACAGCCGCCAUUUUAACCCGAAACUGGUUUUCUAUAUUUUUCUCUUUGUUUCAAUGAAAGUAUUCGCAAUUUGAACCAUGAACGAAAACCGGUCUGCACCUGUAUCGAGACAUCGCUUGACCUUAUUGUUAUUGAAGUGCACAUGGUAGCUGGCCAAUCAAAACUGAGCUGGCUUACACAUGAAAUGACGUUGUUGAAUGAAACGUAAAAAUGGGUGGAGCUAUGAAUACACAGUUAAUAUUGUCGUCUGCAAACAAAAUAGCGGAUGGUCGCAAAUGUCGUAUUAUAAGAUUAAAAAUGAAAAUAAGCGUGACAAUAAAUUAAUUGUUUCCAAGCUGACUAUCGAUCCAAAUUAAAGAGUGAUAAUUAAAUAAUUAGUUCUAUGUCGUUGAUGUUACAACUUUCUGCCGAUUUCCGAUUGAAAUGAAAAGGUGUUCAUUAAUAAUUUGAUCGUUUUACUCACACACUAUGAUAACUAACAGCGGCGUAUUUUAAUCAAAGGAAAACGUGAAAAACACGCGCGGUUUAAUUGCAAUUAAAAUUUAAUUAAAGUUACGAAUUUGUAACGCAUAGGAAGACUAAUUCAUGUCGUCUACUAUAUAAAUGGAAGAUACCAAUUUGUCUGUACAGUCGUUAACAUGACUUCUUUAACCUUAAAGCGUCCUUUGGACGAAAAUGAGUCUGAACAAACAAACAAAAUAAUUAAAACACAAAAACUAGAGCAUUCCAAGAGUCAUGGAAAGUUGAUAAUAAUUGGCUUCGCUUUGAGAAUGAAUCAAAAUCAAUGUACUGUGACCUAUGCAUUAAGGUGCAGAAUUCCAACACGUUCACUGUAGGUUGCAAUAUCCUGAAAAAAGACUCGGUGACGAAACAUGCAAAGUCUAAAGAUCACACUCAUGCCGUCGAUGCCAGCAAGCAGUAAAGCAGCAAAACAAUGUAUUUUGUGAAUGAAAUGUAUGCUUGUAUUUUACAUGCCAUUCAUCAUGUUGUUAAAAAUGCGCUGUAUUAAAAUAUCUUUAUUACUAUGACAAUUGUGAUUUGAUGUAUAUUAUAAUAUGUGACAUGUGCUUGUUGUCAUUAAAAGAAAUAUGAAAAAUC
Dreissena polymorpha is the source of this 1404-nucleotide long non-coding RNA. RefSeq lists it as uncharacterized. NCBI's taxonomy places the organism in Eukaryota, Metazoa, Mollusca, Bivalvia, Myida, Dreissenidae. The record is from RefSeq and is a predicted model, not a curated record. The transcript is spliced from 2 exons.